AUUGAACGCUGGCGGCAGGCCUAACACAUGCAAGUCGAGCGGAUGAAGGGAGCUUGCUCCUGGAUUCAGCGGCGGACGGGUGAGUAAUGCCUAGGAAUCUGCCUGGUAGUGGGGGAUAACGUCCGGAAACGGGCGCUAAUACCGCAUACGUCCUGAGGGAGAAAGUGGGGGAUCUUCGGACCUCACGCUAUCAGAUGAGCCUAGGUCGGAUUAGCUAGUUGGUGGGGUAAAGGCCUACCAAGGCGACGAUCCGUAACUGGUCUGAGAGGAUGAUCAGUCACACUGGAACUGAGACACGGUCCAGACUCCCACGGGAGGCAGCAGUAGGGAAUAUUGGACAAUGGGCGAAAGCCUGAUCCAGCCAUGCCGCGUGUGUGAAGAAGGUCUUCGGAUUGUAAAGCACUUUAAGUUGGGAGGAAGGGCAGUAAGUUAAUACCUUGCUGUUUUGACGUUACCAACAGAAUAAGCACCGGCUAACUUCGUG
Molecule: ribosomal RNA, 484 nt
Filed under: uncultured bacterium
Lineage: Bacteria
Description: partial 16S ribosomal RNA
Rfam family: Bacterial small subunit ribosomal RNA
Source: RNAcentral